GCGGGGAUAGCUCAGUUGGUAGAGCACGACCUUGCCAAGGUCGGGGUCGCGAGUUCGAGUCUCGUUUCCCGCUCCA
Molecule: transfer RNA, 76 nt
Filed under: Escherichia coli
Lineage: Bacteria; Pseudomonadati; Pseudomonadota; Gammaproteobacteria; Enterobacterales; Enterobacteriaceae
Also listed under: 12 other names
Description: tRNA-Gly
Rfam family: tRNA
About the family: Transfer RNA (tRNA) molecules are approximately 80 nucleotides in length. Their secondary structure includes four short double-helical elements and three loops (D, anti-codon, and T loops).
Source: RNAcentral